GACGAACGCUGGCGGCGCGCCUAACACAUGCAAGUCGAACGAGAAUCAGCUGAUGAAGUUUUCGAAUGGAUUCGGUUGAGGAAAGUGGCGAACGGGCGAGUAACGCGUGAGCAACCUACCUUGUACUGGGGGAUAACGUCGGGAAACCGGCGCUAAUACCGCAUAACACUACGAUAGCGCAUGUUAUUGUAAUCAAAGCUUUAGUGGUACGAGACGGGCUCGCGUCCAAUUAGCUAGUUGGUGAGGUAAAGGCUCACCAAGGCGACGAUUGGUAGCCGAACUGAGAGGUUGAUCGGCCGCAUUGGGACUGAGACACGGCCCAGACUCCUACGGGAGGCAGCAGUGGGGAAUAUUGCGCAAUGGGGGAAACCCUGACGCAGCGACGCCGCGUGAAGGAAGAAGGCCUUCGGGUUGUAAACUUCUUUGAUCGGGGACGAAGAUGACGGUACCCGAGGAACAAGCCACGGCUAACUACGUGCCAGCAGCCGCGGUAAUACGUAGGUGGCAAGCGUUGUCCGGAAUUACUGGGCGUAAAGGGCGUGUAGGCGGGGGGACAAGUCAGAUGUGAAAUACCGCGGCUUAACUGCGGGGGUGCAUCUGAAACUGUUCUUCUUGAGUGUCGGAGAGGAAAGUGGAAUUCCCAGUGUAGCGGUGAAAUGCGUAGAGAUUGGGAGGAACACCAGUGGCGAAGGCGGCUUUCUGGACGAUAACUGACGCUGAGGCGCGAAAGCGUGGGGAGCAAACAGG
This 747-nucleotide ribosomal RNA is filed under the name uncultured bacterium. RNAcentral's name for it is "bacterial SSU rRNA". It matches the Rfam family "Bacterial small subunit ribosomal RNA", at positions 28 to 776 of the family's 1533-position model. The record is from RNAcentral.